AACACAGCCAGUUUCUGUUUCAAACAAACAAACAAACAAACAAACAAACACCCCAAAACAAUAACAGUUUUGCUGGGAAGGUAAGGAGAGAAAUGGGCAAUAGCUAGAGAAGGGCUUUAAAAAAUUAAAGAUACAAGGGCAUGUUUGUGUGCUAGUAACAAUCUAAGAAAGACCAAAACUAUAAGUGAGGGUGAGGGCAAGAAUGAGCCAUGAAGAGACUGAUGCUUUUGUGGAGAAGAGAUGACUGGAGGAGAAAAGCCUUCAAGAAAGACAGAAGGGAUGCAGGCAGGAGCACAUGUGGGAGGGUCAGCCUUUCCUAGGAAGAGAGGACAUUUUAUUCAGUGCACUAGAAAGGACGUAGGAGAGGAUGGAUUAAGAAGCAGAUAAGUUGGUAGAGUUUGGUGGUGGGAAGAUCAGGAAGUCCUGGCUUUGUAACCUCCCAUUUCUAAGUGAAUUGUAAAAUGAGAUCAUCUGCUGAGCAUGGGGUAGGGAAAGGGGUCUAGAAAGUUUUAGGGGGAUAAAAUGUUAUCUUGGGCAACGAAAAAACAAAAAUUCCUAGGGAAGCUUCCAGCUCCAAUUUUCCACUUGAGAUUUGUGUCCAUGAAUUUAAAGUGAAAUCACUUAGCCAGGUUGUGUGAAGUUCUCUGGCAACAUUUAGAUGCUGCAGCAAAGGCACAGAGAAGGUAAUAAGCACAUGUUGGAGUUUUGCAAAGGGAUUGUGACAGAGGAGAGAGGCUCCAGGGCGUUGGGAUUGUUUGUGAGAGUAAUUAUAAAGAAGGACAAUGGAAUCUAAUUUAUGUAAGGAAGGAAACAAAGGCAGGAAGUGGCUGCUGGAGGGUGGGUGUGUGGUGAGAUCAAUGGGUUAGUGGUCAAGAUAAGGGGCCAGAAGUGUGGGGAUGAAGGGUACCAGAGCAAAUGAGCUAGAAUUACUGGAAAUGAAGGCCAAAUAGAAGGAUUUGGAAAUAGAGAUUUCUGGCCAUGUCAUGGUCUAUGGUGUGGCUGUUGAGUGGGUGGCUGCAGUGGAGUGAGGACAAAGGUUGGUGGGGUAGAAAACAUCAAAGAACAAGACCAAGUGGCUCGUUGAGUUGCACAUACAGAUAUUGAAGUUUUGAGAAUUAUUGUAGGAAGAGGGCAGUGAACAUGAUUGUAACCAGGACCUAAAGUCUUCAGUGAAGGAGGAAGGAUGAUUAAGAGAUAAUUGCAAGGCUGCAUUAAGGGAAGAGAAAGAGGCAUGGAAGAAGAGAAAGCAAAGCAUCACAAUAGGCUUGAAAGCACUUUUUGGGACAAAACUUUGUAUGUGUACUGAAAUGUGGAACUUAGUGGAAGCAAACAGAAAUCUACUACGUUUUUAAGGGAGGUAAAUUGCUAUGAAACCAUGAACCUGGAACCAAAAAGCUUUCGACUAUUGAGUCCUAAAACCAGUUUCACGCCAGCAUACUUGCACCAGCAGAAGGCUGGCUGUUGAAGCUGGGUAACUGCCAAAGGUUGCAUUCUCCCCAAUAUCCACUGUAGAUAUAGCCAUGGUGGAUAAUGGAAAAGGGAGACCCUUCAAUCAAAAGGGAAGAGUCAGGUCACAGAGGACGGUGACAAAGGAGUUCUUCUCAGAAAACAGAAUCAGAGUUGAAUAUAAGAACUUAGUCUGAGGCCUUCAUAAUGCUCUCCAAGCAGGAUUUCAGAAUUGCUAUGAACCAUAAUGGGCGUGUGUGUUUUCCUUCUUUUCAAACAAGGUCUUUAAUUUGCUGUUACUCUGUCCCUGUGCCACCAUUGUAUAUUGGGUGUGUGUAGAGUAGGGGGUGGGUUGGGGGGCAGAUAAUUUUUCUUUUUAGUUCAUAGGUCACUGGACCACCAAGAGACCUGAUGGAGAUACUGGAACAUUGGCGAUCUUGAGCUUUGACCUGGAUGUGCUGACAGGGGAUGUGAAAAGUCAAGGAGAAUGAUGCAAAAAUACUCAUGAACUAUCCGGUGCUGAACAAAUAGAGGGAAGAUAAUGAUGCUGCUGACGAAACUGAUGAAGAAGACCACGAUGAUGAUAAUUGUGCUUUGCUCGUAAAGUUACUUGAUUUUUGACUGACUGAUUAGAUGCAGUUUCCCUGAAUGGAGCUGCCUACCGCCUUCCUUCUAGGGCUUAUCCAGACAACCUUGGAGAAAGCCUGCCUGGUAGAAGAGAAAGGAGCCAAGCAAAACCAAAAAACGGAUAUGAGAUGAAAAGGAAAGAGAGUAGAGUCCUGGUGACAUCAAGUCCUGGCUCUCUUUGGGGAUCCUGGAGAAGAGUAUUUUUAGGAGGCAUUACUGUGAAGCAUAGCAGGUGGCCAGAUGGUAAUGGAAGGAAACAUGGUCCCUUCUAUCGGCUACAAGAACUGAGUGGCAUUCAGAGCUUCUCUCGCAUCUUGGACUCUCAGGCUGCAGAUCAAUCACAAUGCCAUAGAACACAGAUGACACUUUCCCCUGCUUUGGAGACCCGUUGUUCCCAUGGUGUAGAUACAUGUAAGAGGGAGUGCCAUAGAAAAUGACAACUGCUCGUCAGGUGGGAAGCUCACAUGAAGAAGCCUUGUGUCCUUCCUGCAGUGGAAGACAUCUUCGGGAUAGCAGCCAGGGUAUAUACCUGGGAAAAGAUGACCACCAUCAAUCACAGUGGUGUUCAGGAGCUUUCAGUUCUCAUGCCCCCACAGAAACAAUGACUGACAACCAUUCACAGAUGAGAGCACCUUUGUGGAGCCCGGAAGGCCAGCAGAGAGGUCCAAGCAUCCUGCUGAAGAAAAGAAUCUGAACAUAGACACUUUAAAGAGGAUAAGAAAAGCAGUUUCAUUUUACCAGCAUCGGCCUCCCUCAAGGCAGCACAGCUUAAUGUCAAAGAGACCUGCACCUCCAGUGAUUUCUCCCAUAGGGGAAAGUGAGACCUUCUCCAGCCUAAGGGGUUCUUUUCUUUCUCACCUCACCCAGAAUACUGAAUGAAUGACUCAAUAGUCCUGGGACAAUUCGGGGCAGGGGCUCACAGCAACAUGGGUGCAGUACAUAAAGCGUUAUUGUUUCCACUGGCUGCUCUGCAGAAUCCACCAAGAGGCUGCUCACAAACCUUCCAGGACAUAUCACCUGUGGAGGCCACAACAAGACCAUGGUUGUGUCUGGUAUUUUGCCUGCCCUCUCCCCAUAGAUGUGCCUGCAAGAGCCUCUGCAGCUCAUACACCAAAAACACACACAGACAGCCAACUAGACUGCUCUGGGUUGGGAGAAGAUACUUUAAGCACUUCAUGUCACUGCCCUAGGAAAAAUAAAUUGGAGAUUCUCAGUACCCAGCAUGGUUUUAAGGCUUGAGAGAAAGUAUACAAUCGUAACACUUCCUCGUGGAGAGGGAACAAAAGGAGUGGAGUUGGUGUAUCCAUAGGAUAAGUCUGAGAUUCCACAUGCAAGUGAGAUCAUGCAGUAUUUCUUUCUUCAUCUGGCUGAUUUCACUUAGCACAGUGUUCUCCAGGUUCCUCCA
RNAcentral lists this long non-coding RNA (3478 nucleotides) under Homo sapiens (human). RNAcentral's name for it is "HSALNT0362785". Lineage: Eukaryota; Metazoa; Chordata; Mammalia; Primates; Hominidae. The record is from RNAcentral.